UACGUAGGGUGCGAGCGUUAAUCGGAAUUACUGGACGUAAAGCGUGCGCAGGCGGCUUUGCAAGACAGAUGUGAAAUCCCCGGGCUCAACCUGGGAACUGCAUUUGUGACUGCAAGGCUAGAGUACGGCAGAGGGGGAUGGAAUUCCGCGUGUAGCAGUGAAAUGCGUAGAUAUGCGGAGGAACACCAAUGGCGAAGGCAAUCCCCUGGGCCUGUACUGACGCUCAUGCACGAAAGCGUGGGGAGCAAACAGG
This 253-nucleotide ribosomal RNA is filed under the name uncultured bacterium. RNAcentral's name for it is "partial 16S ribosomal RNA". It matches the Rfam family "Bacterial small subunit ribosomal RNA", at positions 524 to 776 of the family's 1533-position model. The record is from RNAcentral.